This 198-nucleotide ribosomal RNA is filed under the name uncultured bacterium. RNAcentral describes it as "partial 16S ribosomal RNA". It matches the Rfam family "Bacterial small subunit ribosomal RNA", at positions 328 to 539 of the family's 1533-position model. The record is from RNAcentral.
ACGCUCGACACCUACUGGAGGCAGCAGUGGGGAAUAUUGUACAAUGGGGGAAACCCGUGAUGCAGCGACGCCGCGUGGAGGAAGAAGGUCUUCGGAUUGUAAACUCCUGUUGUUGGGGAAAAGAGGAUGGUACCCAACAAGGAAGUGACGGCUAACUACGUGUCAGCAGCCGCGGUAAUCUGAGCGGGCUGGCAAGGC